UCGGGACGUGCCGGGUCGUCUUCAUCCUGGAGACGAACUCCUGCACGCGCACGAGUUCUUCACUUUCUCGAUCCAAAUCCUCAUCCAAUCGACCAAUCUCUUACCCCUAGUACAUCCAUGACCCCAUAUAAAUACUCGCUUGCUCCUAUUCGUCCGAUUUUUCACCAACUUGAGAUCUCCCAUGCCCGUUUUGCCUCAUUUCGAUCUCGCCGAAGUUCAGCCGUUGCAGAAGGUCUCGUCGGUCGAUUUCGUCGCCACAGAAGAGGCGCAUCCAUAAGAGUGCAAGGACCUCGACCAGAAGCCCUCGCCGCCAUUGCUGCUCCAGCGGGUCACUAUCGUCACAGGAGCAAGCUCCAAUCGUCUCGGAGAACACCUAAUUCAUCUCCGUCGCGCUCUACACCCUUCUGUAAUCUCUCCAUCACCGGAUACCCUCUGUACCCGUCGGCCGCAUCACCGCCGAGUCGCCCGUGGCCAUCGUCCUCAAGUCCGGCACUAUCCAUCCUGUUGUUCCGAUUGUUUGGACCGCGAAGGGAACCAAAAUUAAGUGUUAGAGUACUUCAGCACCUUUCAAGG
Molecule: long non-coding RNA, 573 nt
Organism: Triticum dicoccoides
Lineage: Eukaryota; Viridiplantae; Streptophyta; Magnoliopsida; Poales; Poaceae
Exons: 3
Source: RefSeq, a predicted model, not a curated record